GACGAACGCUGGCGGCGUGCUUAACACAUGCAAGUCGAACGGACGAGUGAGAUAAGUUUACUUAACUCACAAGUUAGUGGCGGACGGGUGAGUAACACGUGGAUAAUCUACCUGCAACACCGGGAUAACGCUGUGAAAACGGUGCUAAUACCGGAUACGUUCCCUUGUGCGCAUGUAUGAGGGAAGAAAGCUCAGGCGGUUGCAGAUGAGUCCGCGGCUGAUUAGCUAGUUGGUGAGGUAAAGGCUCACCAAGGCGAUGAUCAGUAGCCGGCCUGAGAGGGUGAACGGCCACACUGGGACUGAGACACGGCCCAGACUCCUACGAGAGGCAGCAGUGGGGAAUCUUCCGCAAUGGACGAAAGUCUGACGGAGCAACGCCGCGUGAGUGACGAAGGUCUUCGGAUUGUAAAGCUCUGUUCUUCGGGACGAAUGUACAGACUGUGAAUAAUGGUUAGUAAUGACGGUACCGAAGGAGAAAGCCACGGCUAACUACGUG
This 496-nucleotide ribosomal RNA is filed under the name uncultured bacterium. RNAcentral's name for it is "bacterial SSU rRNA". It matches the Rfam family "Bacterial small subunit ribosomal RNA", at positions 28 to 507 of the family's 1533-position model. The record is from RNAcentral.